Dalotia coriaria is the source of this 631-nucleotide long non-coding RNA. RefSeq lists it as uncharacterized. The record is from RefSeq and is a predicted model, not a curated record. The transcript has 2 exons. NCBI's taxonomy places the organism in Eukaryota, Metazoa, Arthropoda, Insecta, Coleoptera, Staphylinidae.
GCAUGUUUCGCAAUGUCUGCUUCAAUUAUGUUGAUGCAUGUCUUGUUCUUGAACAGCACUUCCGUAAAAGUAAAGAAAAAACAAAACUUUUUCGCGUUUCAUUGUGUUUGUAACGAAAUGCAGGGAAUAUCGCAUUGGUAAAUCUUCCAAAUGGUUUUAUUGAGGCGAAUUUUUACAAUUGCUACCAUUGUAAACGUUGUCUCAAUGUCAAUUGCACACGGCGCAUGUGUGACGCAUGUUGUAACAGCCAUGACAUGUCACAUUCGACAUAAAAUUGCAUUUCGACAGUGAAAACCUCCCGCAUUGUGCGAUUACUUGAUUGUAACUUCUGCUGUGAUGAAAGUGACAAUCGAAAACAAGCAUAAAUUAUUAGAAAUUAAUGAAAAAACAUAAAAAACAUUCCUGUAAUACCUUCAAAGUUAAAAAACAAAAUGGCCGCCAUGGAAAACUUCUUAACUACAAUAAUAUUAAUACUUAUGCUUACAUUUGCACUCUGGUUAAUAUUUUCAGUUGUAAUUAAUGUGUACUUUGAAAUUUUAUCAAUAUUUUUUUCAUUUCCGCAAGAAAACCAAACUUAAAUUAAUUUCUUUUUUAAUUAAAUAAAAAAAGCAAUGAACUUGUUUACUCCACA